CAGGAAUUAGUUUAAAAAAUAACUAUCUUCGAACUAGUAGUUUUAGGUAAAAUCCUAAAUUCCUAC
RNAcentral lists this transfer RNA (66 nucleotides) under Brookesia decaryi (spiny leaf chameleon). Its description in RNAcentral is "tRNA-Arg". It matches the Rfam family "tRNA". From Rfam's summary of the family: Transfer RNA (tRNA) molecules are approximately 80 nucleotides in length. Lineage: Eukaryota; Metazoa; Chordata; Lepidosauria; Squamata; Chamaeleonidae. The record is from RNAcentral.